This 129-nucleotide ribosomal RNA is filed under the name uncultured bacterium. RNAcentral describes it as "partial 16S ribosomal RNA". It matches the Rfam family "Bacterial small subunit ribosomal RNA", at positions 338 to 484 of the family's 1533-position model. The record is from RNAcentral.
CCUACGGGAGGCAGCAGUGGGGAAUCUUGCACAAUGGAGGAAACUCUGAUGCAGCGAUGCCGCGUGAGUGAAGAAGGCCCUUGGGUUGUAAAGCUCUUUUGUCGGGAAAGAUAAUGACUGUACCCGAAG